GCAGAAGCCAGGCUGCAGGAUUGCCAGCUCAGGAGAGGACAGCCGCCAUGUUGUGAGCAGCCCUGUGGAGAGGCCCUAGUGGCAAGGACCCGAAGUGGAGUCUCCUUCUCCAGCUGCAGCCUGGCUGACAGUUUGACUACAACUUCCUAAAGAGACCCUGAGCCAGAACCACCAGGUGUUCCUGCUGACCAGAAAUGCAGGGUAUCCCGUCAGCCAAUUCCCAAAGGCCAGGCCAACUCUGGGCUCUCCACUUACUUCCUUGUUCCUUCUCACCCCAAACAAGGUGGACUCGGAGGCCCCAGACUAUCA
RNAcentral lists this long non-coding RNA (309 nucleotides) under Equus caballus (horse). RNAcentral's name for it is "lncRNA (ENSECAG00000043091.2)". Lineage: Eukaryota; Metazoa; Chordata; Mammalia; Perissodactyla; Equidae. The record is from RNAcentral.